This 359-nucleotide ribosomal RNA is filed under the name uncultured Gammaproteobacteria bacterium. RNAcentral describes it as "bacterial SSU rRNA". It matches the Rfam family "Bacterial small subunit ribosomal RNA", at positions 1021 to 1379 of the family's 1533-position model. Lineage: Bacteria; Pseudomonadati; Pseudomonadota; Gammaproteobacteria. The record is from RNAcentral.
CGGGAAUCUAGUGACAGGUGCUGCAUGGCUGUCGUCAGCUCGUGUCGUGAGAUGUUGGGUUAAGUCCCGUAACGAGCGCAACCCUUGUCCUUAGUUGCCAGCACGUAAUGGUGGGCACUCUAAGGAGACUGCCGGUGACAAGCCGGAGGAAGGUGGGGACGACGUCAAGUCAUCAUGGCCCUUACGACCUGGGCUACACACGUGCUACAAUGGCCGGUACAGAGGGCUGCAAGCCCGCGAGGGGGAGCUAAUCUCACAAAGCUGGUCGUAGUCCGGAUCGCAGUCUGCAACUCGACCGCGAGAAGUUGGAAUCGCUAGUAAUCGUGAAUCAGAAUGUCGCGGAGAAUACGUUCCCGGGC